GUCCUGUUGUUAAUUAUAGUAGGUCUAACCUGCCCACUGACAAUAUUAGUUUAACGGCCGCAGUAUAUUGACUGUGCAAAGGUAGCAUAAUCAUUAGUCUUUUAAUAGAGGGCUGGAAUGAAUGGUUUGACGAAAUAUCAGCUGUCUCACUUUUAUUUAUUGAAUUUAACUUUUAAGUUAAAAGGCUUAAAUUUAUUUGGAAGACGAGAAGACCCUAUAGAGCUUUAUUAAUAUUAUUUUUAUUUAAUUUGGUUUGUAAUUAAUAAUUAAAGUAAGAUUAAUUUUGUUGGGGUGAUGGUAAAUAAAUAUGUAACUUUUAUUAUUAAUUUUACAUUUAUAUAUGAUUUAUUAGAUCCUUUUUUGAUUAUUAGAUUAAGUUACCUUAGGGAUAACAGCGUAAUCUUUCCUUUGAGUUCUUAUUUUCGGAAAGGGUUGCGACCUCGAUGUUGGAUUAAGAUUAUAAUUAGGUGUAGCCGCUUUAUUUAUAGGUCUGUUCGACCUUUAAAUUCUUACAUGAUCUGAGUUCASACCGG
Molecule: ribosomal RNA, 533 nt
Filed under: Indocypha catopta
Lineage: Eukaryota; Metazoa; Arthropoda; Insecta; Odonata; Chlorocyphidae
Description: partial 16S ribosomal RNA
Rfam family: Bacterial large subunit ribosomal RNA
Source: RNAcentral